GGCCACAUUAAAAUUUGCUAUUAGUCCAUUCUCUACCGAAUCUUAUCUGUUCAGAAUCAUCAAAAUAGCAGGGAUACUCCAAUAUGCUAAAUUAGCAUGCAUUUAAGCUGGCCAGUCAAACUCUGAGAAUAUAAGAAACUGGCGGUGUUUAAAAUAAGAAAAAAAGUGUCUCACAGUGAUAGUGUUUCAAUUGAGAUCAUCUUUCUGUGCAUUAGCUUCAAGCUGAUAGCUUUGAUCUUUGUAUCAUAUUUUAGAUAUUGAAGUUUAGUUGAACUGGUUGCUUUUCUCUGUAGACAAAUUUUGUUGAAUAAGGCAAGUUGUAUAGGAGACCUUCACUCUUUUGCUGAAACUACUCUACAUUGCCUCCCCUAUUUUUGGGACAGCUCAAACUUGUUAAUCAUUUUCCCAUCUUCCCCUGUGUUUCAUUUCUCCUAAAAAUAGGUGGCUUCAGAAUCAUUCAUCUUAAUCAGGAUUUAUUUUGUUUGUUGUUCAACAUCUUGUACUAGUUGACCUGCUAAAAGUUGCUGAAAUUUGGCAUAUGAUGUUGCUGCAAAGUUUUUUCAUUGAGACAAAAAGAUGAAGGUUCUUCUGUCUCUCACUUUCUUUAUACUAAGCUCAAUGGAGAUUCCUGCUGUGUUAUGAUACUUCACUAAAUCCUCCUUCCACAAGUUUUAUUUUACCAUUUCUGGAAAAGGAAAGAAUUCAUAAUUUAUUUAUGUUUAAUAUUUUUAUGCCAAAUACUCUAAUUGAGAGUGGUGGUGCAAAAGCUUGGCUGCUUGAUUGCCUUUUUGGUUUUGCAUAUGCUACUAUAAUACAUGCUGCAAUUAUAGUCGAGGAAUCCAAGAAAGGAUAGGAUAUUGCUUCUGUAGGCUAAGAUUCAUCAUUUCACUGGAUUGUAUUGUUUCAUCUUCUUAGGUGACUCCUGCUGGCUUUGCACAGAUGACAGAAAUGCUGACUGCUCUUUCUGGUGGAAAGUUACUUGUUAUCCUUGAGGGCGGGUUGGUUUUUAUAUGUUCAUGGGUUCGUGUCUUUUUUUUCACGUAUUUGAAUGUCAUGAUUGAUCUUGAACACUUGUAACUUUUACAGCUAUAAUCUUCGUUCAAUAUCAUGCUCUGCUACUGCAGUUAUUAAGGUAAAUUAUCUUAUUGUUGGUACUGGUUCAACUAAGUUAAUCGUUAUGCUUUUAACUUUGCCGCUGGAUAUGAUCCCACAUUCUACUUUUGUUAUAAUCCAUCUACACCUUAACUGGGUGUUUGGAGUUGUCUUUGUAGAUACAUGUCAGGUUGGAGAAAUUAACACCUAGGUACAUCAUGCUGGAAUAGCAUUGAAUGUACAGUUUUCAGGCAAAUAAUUUAUCAUUAUCAUCUAGGUUAUUAAUGACACUAAGAAAAAGAUGUAGUUCAUGCUUGUAUUUGUUUAAUUUUAUAUGCGAGCUCAUUUGUCUGAUAGUGGUGAACAAGAUGGUUGGACCAUUGAGCUUUCAGCUUCAGCUGUGGAAAUAUUCUUCCCAGAUAUUUUUCUUAAAUUUUCUAAUACGUUACUUGCUUCCUGUUUUGAGUGUCUUUAGUUUCUUCAAACAUUGCAGGUCUUGCUUGGUGAAAGUCCAGCGUGCAACUUGGAUGAUAUUGUUCCUUCCAAGUCUGGGUUGCGAACCAUUUUUGAAGUUUUAAAAAUUCAGACAAAAUAUUGGCCUGCACUAGAGUCAACCUUUUCGAAAUUGCAGUUACGAUGGGGAAUUUAUGCUUUUCAGGACACAGGUUAGUGUGUUUGUUGCCUGAGAUCUUGGAACAGCCUUCCGGUUUUAGAUCUGUUUUCAUGUGUGGUUGUAUUCUUGCACUUUUCUUUUGGGAUACAUUGGUUCUAAUGUUAAGUAAUUUAAAACCAAUAUAAGAGAAGGUGGAUAAUUAGAGCAUUCGGGCAUGGAAUAGGGAAUUAGUAUCUCAGUGGCUUGCAAUGUGUCCUCUUCACAGGGUGAAGUCUUCUUUUUGAUCAAUUUCUUUUUGAUCAAUAUCAAUGUAUCUGUUGUCCCCCUGGUUCUCUUCUACAUAUUAUAGUGGUACCAUUGGUCCUGCUACAAAGACACUUCUACCAAAUGAUCCAAGGUGCACGUGCAUAAAAGCAGUAAUAGAGAGAUGACACGUCUAAUUCUGCUAAACUAUUUGUACCCAAAAGAAAAGACGUUUAGUAGAUGAUCAACAGUAAAAACUGAGAAAGGGAGAGAGAUGCUGCUAAUGCAAAAAUACCUGUUCUUUUCUCCAGUGAAAUAAUUAAAUGACAGAGAUUGGUGCAGGGAUAUAUUUUGAAACAAGGUCUAGUUGUGAAUCAGAUUUGUGUAUCUAAGACGGUGACUUGCUGGUAUUCAAUCUCGUGUUUUGUGUGGAUGUUUGGUCCGUCAUUUCAAUGGCUUGUCCUUGGCAUUUUUCACAGGGAAGCAGGUAAAAAGGAGACGAAAGGCAGUGGUGCCUGUUUGGUGGAGAUGGGGGCGAAAGAGGUUAUUCUAUCGUGUGCUGUCCAAGCAGCUUCAAUUUAAAGUGAAAUAGGUGCCAAGUGUACAUGUGUUUCGUAGUCUGACCUGUCUUUGUAACUUCUUCAGUACCUAAAUUAGGGUUGUGCAGUUUUGUGGAAAUGGAUUCCUAGUAAUGCAAAUUAUGUUGAAUUUUACCGCUCUCUCUCUCGCUCCCUCCUACAUACGUGCUUGCUCUAAUCCGUCUCAUAUAUCAACCUUUAUGACAAUGCCAUUUGGUAGAUUAUAAGAUCAGCACACUUCUAUUUCUUUCUACUAAUGCAGGCAAAUUCGUACUGCUUAUGUUCAAAUAAUUCAUCUCAAAUAUUUUGAUAGCAAAAGAAGUCAGUGUUGUAACAAUGUAAAGCGAGUGAAUGAAAUUUAUUGCUAGCUUUAUGGUUACUAGCUAUCGAGAAUGAAAGCUCAGUUGUCAAAGAUCUUCGUGAAUUGCAGAACUGGUAUCGCUCAUUAUGCCACUCAUUUUCUUUAUCUUUCUUCUGUGGGACAUUAGUAUUUUGAGGCUUUUUUCCCCUCUAAUUUAUGAAUUAGGUGUAAGAAAAAGCUGCAUUAGAUUUUUGGGUAGAAGAUUUCUGGCUUCUUGUUGGAAGAUGCAAAUGGGCAUAGGCCAGCAUGGUGUCGAUGUGCAUUUUCUUGGGUUUGGGAAGUUUUAUUUCACGUCUUAGGAUUUUGCUACACCUGGAUCCUCGGGUCAACUAACAAACUUCUAUAGUAUUUCGCAGAGAAAAUUUAAAAGCUGUUUUCUUGGGUUCGGGAAGUUUUAUUUCACGUCUUAGGAUUUUGCUACACCUGGAUCCUCGGGUCAACUAACAAACUUCUAUAGUAUUUCGAAGAGAAAAUUUAAAAGCUGUUUGAAAGGAAGGGGAGUGUGUCGGUGACUGAGGAGGUGAUUUUUGGUGGGUAACUAAACCGACCUGAAUCAGUCCUCUCUCGAAUGAGGUGAGGUGACUUUACUUCUCCGAAGUGGAUGGCGGGGCUUCUCCCCUGGGAUCACUCCGACGAUCAAGUUAGUAUGAGAACGAGAGAAAAGCAAUUGUAUAUGUGAAUGAACAGUAUGCUUACUUGUUAGGUGUACAUGAGGGGUAUUUAUAGAGCGGGAGUGGAUGGCAGGACAGAGGGCUCAUGCUAGUGGGACCCAUGUUCUGCCAUUACGGCUCUGCUCCUUGUUAGGAGGUCUGACUCUGACACUGUAACCGCCUGGGCAGGGUGACGGGGAGUUCUACGUAGUAGCCAUUAAGAGUAUCAGUGCUUUUCAGAUAAAGCACUGGUCCCUGAUGAUGUCAGGUGGCUUGACAUCAUCAGCGUGCAGCCGAGGUCGAAGUCUGAGGUGCAGGGAUCAUCUAGGCAGUAGACCAGGGGCUUGCCCGAGAUCAGGGCCAUAUUCAGCACGAGACCGUGCUCGUGUGAGGGAGGAAGUGAGAUCACCUCGGCAUUCCCAUGAGGGCCGAGGUGAGCACCCUCAAUAAGCCCCCCAAGCCUCAGAAGCUCCGAGUCCUAGAGGUACCGAGGCUUCCCUGUACCGAGGUCGUACAGGGUCGGAGGCCCGAGACUGUUCCUGACGAUUCGUGGGUGCGACACGUAGGCCGGUCAGUUGAUAAGACGUGGUGAGCAGAGUGGUCACGUCGUGAGGUAGUGGGACGUUUCGUGCAGAGUGUCAGUUGAAAGGACGGGUCAUUAAUGAAGAGAGAGGAUGUCUUUCGAAUUUAAACGUGGACGUCUUUUCGCAUUCUUGCCGCCUUUUCGGAUUCUCCCCGGAUCCCUAUAAAUAGGGGGUCCUUUUCACCGCAUGGCCCAUCACUUUAUCUUUCAGCCUCAGACUUGCAAAAUCCGUGAGCGUCGCCGAGGUCAGUGAGUCCUGCCAGUCGAAAUCUCAGCCGAAGUCAUCCAAUUCGUCAGAUUCCGUAGUCAACAGUAAGUAUUUUUCUUUUCAUCUCAUCAUUCACACAUGGCCAAAACAGUUAAAACCCACAAGAAAACCGUGAAACCGAGCUAUCAGGCCGAGGAGGGGUCGGACCCCUUGGAAGAAGCGACUUCGUCCAGCUCUGCGGGGUCGGCACCUACCGAUGUGGGGGAAUCAGCCGAGGAGGAAGUGGCCGGGACAGCAUCGGGGUCAGAGUCAUCAGAGAUGAGCGAGGGCGGUUCCGAUGUCGAAUACGAUACCGACCUCGGAACUGCAAUGCCCCAUGACGAGGGAGUGCUGGAGCCGGUUGCCCCAAGGAACGCUGUCAACAUUGACUUUGGCAAGAUGCCGAUGCUUAGGAGCCGCGUGGGAAGAGACAGGGCCGGGAAGGUGAUAAGAAAAUAUCCCUUCAGGCCGGGGUAUCUCAUCACAUUGCCCGGGCCGAACGAUUCGGCCGAGAAGCCCCCCAUGGGCACUGUGGCCAUCUAUCUUCAACAGUUGGAGGCCGGGCUGAGGAUGCCGACGUCAAGGUUCUUCCGGGACGUGCUCCGUCACUUCGGCGUAAGGAUCACUCAGCUCGUCCCAAACGCGGUCCGCAUCCUAGUAGGUUUCGAGAUGCUGUGCCGACAUCAAGAGGUAACCCCCACUGUGGAUCUCUUCCGCCGAUGCUAUACCCUCAAGGCGCACGGGGACGGAUAAGGGAUGGUUCUACAUCUGUAACCGGAACAACACCAUCCCGAAGCUGGUGAUUGGGGCUCCCACCUCGAUAAAGAACUGGAAACGGGACUUCAUCUUCGUCCCAGCCGGGGACUUCCCUUGGGGAUUUUGGUGGAGGCCCAUUAAAUCGAAGGCCGACCCUUCCGUGGGGGACCACGAGGAGGAGUCCUUCCAAAAGUUGAUGGGGUCGGGACUUCGGAUAUUUAGUUGGGACUACCCCGAAGCCGUGCUGGUCGACGGGGGAAUGAGCCGAGCUUUACUGCCCCCUAACAAGCCUUCCUUCUUUUCCAUUAAACUUGAGAAACCUUGUAAUUUUUCUUUCAUGGCUUUCCUUUUACCACGGCUAUAGCACAUAAUAAUAUUUGUUUCUUGUGCAGUGACCAAAUUGUCAGACAUCAUCACAUCGGGAUCAGCCGAGGUGGCAAAGAGAUCGAAAAGGAAGAACUCGGGCGAGACAUCGGCACAUCCGCCCAAAAAGAAGUCGCAAAGGCAGUCUUCCAAGACUUCGGUGGAGAAGAGCACCCCCACCAAGGCAGCCCAAAGCAGCUCGGCCACCGCAGCUACGGGUUCCACCUCUUCUGUGCCAGAAGGGGUGCCACUAGGAGUGACCACGGCACUCCCGCCUCCUCAUGGCCGAGGUAAACAAUUAAAGGCUCCGGUCAAUGCGGUGACGGGGUCUUCACUAUGGAACCGCUUCCAUAGCCCCCCAGUGUUUCCCAGAGAAGAGAAGUCCCACUCCGGCGAGCAUUGGUGUCCGGAGUGGACGCUGAAGGUCAACGAUAGGUGCAGCAAUCCACAGGUUGCACAAGAUUUGGUGAUGCAAUCAAGCUUGCCGAGGGACGUGGAGUUCACCAGGAAGCUGUCCCCGACCGAGUUGAUUCAAAGUAUAAUGGUGACCACGGCCUCCCAGACGGCAUUUGCGGCCGAGAUGACGCAUCGGUACUGCGCCCUAAUCGAGGAGCAAGACACCGGCAAGCUGCAAGAUCAGAUUGCCAAGUUGAAGAAGAAACUGGUGGUGUCCGAGUCCGAGAAGUCUGAGCUUCAGCGACGCCUUCAAGAAGUCGAGACGAAAGGGGAGGAGGCCGAGGCUACUAUCAACAGUUUCAAGUCGGCAUUGGAGGAAGAGCAGAAGAGGGCGGAGGAGGUAAAGAAGACCUACGAACAGGCUCUUGAGAGCGCAAGGACCUCGGCAGUUGAGGAUUUCAGGAGGUCCGAGACCUUCAUCGGGGAUCUCGUCCAGCUGACGAGGCCGAGCUUCAUGCUCGGCUUCACGUCGGCCAUCGACGAGGCCGCAGUUCAUCUCUCCUCCGAAGCCUUGGAGUCUUUAAGAAACAACGCCAAUUAUAAUGAAGACUCCAAGGAAUUGUGUGAUCGGAUGGCCGACGGGUUCCACGCUGGAAGGAACUUGGCUGAGGUCCAGGACGAGUUCAACAAGUGGCUAUCAGAGCUCGACGAAGUGUUCGAGGAGGACGGAGGAGGUGAGGCUGGGGGCGACGUCGGCGAGAAGACUGACGAAGUGCACGAAGGAGACUGAGGAGGUGAGCCUCAUCCCGGCGGGGAAGAAACCGGGGAGGCAAUUGGCCAGGAGGGAGCCGAGACAGGGGUCUAGGCUUGUAGGUGGUUAAGUGUAAUGCCGAGGUGGGAACUGCUUAGUAGCAUUCCUGACCUCGGUCUUGUUAUCUUUUUGUAAUGCCUUUUCUUCGUUAAAUGAAACAUAUUUCUUCUCACUUCGGCUAUUUUAAUUUCUUGCUUCGUCCCUUGCUUGUCCCCCUUAUUUUUUUAAUAACAGAUGUGUGGCACCAUUGUAUUGAAAAAUAACAAAGCUGCUGAGGUCAUAACUUGAUGAAAUAUUCAAGCAUAAUACAAUCUAAGAUUCUCGGCGUGCCAAGUUCUCGGCACUAGAGAGCCAUCUCGGUAGCUCAGUUUACAAUACCCGUUAAGGUUGGAUUCCACAACUCGGUAAGGACCUUCCCAUUUUGGGCUCAAUUUCCCUUGCGGCUCAGCUCAGCUGACCGAGUUUUUUCUAAGUACCAAGUCACCUGGCAGGAAUCGCCGAUGUUUGACGAGGGCAUUGUAGUAACGGGUCAGGGUGUUCUUGUAGGAAGCUACCCGAGCUGAGGCAACGUCCCUUCUCUCGUCGACGAGGUCGAGAUCCAACUGUCUCUCUUCUCCGUUCACCUCGGCGACAUAGGCUGCCAGCCGAGGGUUGGGUGUUAGGAUCUCAGCAGUGAUGACAGCCUCGGCUCCAUAGGUCAAGGAGAAGGGGGUUUCUUGCGUGGAUGACCUCGGCGUGGUCCAAUAUGACCACAGGACACUGGGUAGUUCUUCCACCCAAGAUGAUGCAGCUCGGUGUAGUCGGGUCUUGAGGCCAUGCAAGAGAGUUCAGUUGAAAUUCUCUGCUUGACCGUUGGCCUGAGGGUGGCCUACCGAAGUGAAGUGUUGUUUGAUGCCGAGGUUCUCGCACCAAGUCCUAAAUGGGUUCUCGGCAAACUGUCUCCCAUUGUCUGAGAUGAUGAUCUGAGGUAUGCCGAAGCAGCAGAUAAUGCAUUUCGAAAAGAAUUUUUGAAGGGCCAGCCCUGUGAUGUUCCUUAGAGGCUCGGCCUCAACCCACUUAGUGAAAUAAUCCACAGCGGUUACCAGGAAGGAAUAACCCCCGACCGCUUUUGGGAAAGGGCCAAUAAUGUCUGUCCCCCAUUACUCAAACGGCCAGGGUGAGGUGAUUGGAACCAUGAAGUUUGAGGGCUGGUGGUGCUCGGGGGCGUGGACUUGGCAGGAUGGGCAGCCGAGAACAAGAUUUUGGGCAUCCUGUCGAACGGAAGGCCAGAAAUACCCAAGGAGCAAGGUCUUCUUGGCCAACAUCCUAUGGCUGACGUGGGCCCCACAUAGGUCUUCGUGUACCUCGUGGAGGACUUGGCGUCCUUCCUCGGGCGUAACGCACCUCAGCCACGGGCCAAGGUAGGAGCGUUUAUAGAGUUCUCCCUCGCGGAGAGCAUACCGAGCGGCUUUGCGUUGUAUCUUUCUCGCCUCGGCUCGAUCCUCGGGGAGGAUUCCCUGCCGUAAGAAAAGGAUGAAUGGGCUCAUCCAUGUAUCUCCCGAGUUUACAGAGCAAGCCACCUCUUCCAUGUAUCCCGGCUCGCUCAGUACUUCCACUAAGACGGUCUUGUUGAGGUCAGAAAAUGAUGUGGAAGCCAGCCGGGAUAAGGCGUCAGCCCGCCUAUUCUGGGAGCGGGGGAUUUUUUGGAUUUCGAAAGACUCGAAGUAUGCGGUGAGUUGGUGGACUUUGGAGAGAUAUCGUUGUAUGAUCUCAUCCUUAGUCUCAUAUUCACCGAGAACUUGGCAUACUACAAGUUCGGAGUCGGUACGGACGUGGAUCCGCUGUGCACCGAGCCUGCGGGCUAGUUGGAGUCCCGCGAUCAAGACCUCAUAUUCGGCUUCAUUGUUGGUGGCUGGGAAGUCAAAGCGGAGGGCAUACGAGCACACUUCUCCCUGGGGGCCCUCCAGGAGCAGUCCUGCUCCACUGCCAUCCCCGUUAGAGGAUCCGUCCACAUAUAACAUCCACAGGUGGGGGGUGGACACUUCGGCGAUGGCGGAAGUGGAUUCUCGACCUUCCGUGAAGGUGAGUUCGGCCAAGAAGUCGGCUAUGGCUUGAGCUUUUAUGGCGGUGCGUGGCUCAUACGACAGGUCGUACUCCCCUAACUCGACGGCCCACUUAGUGAGGCGCCCGGAAGCCUCGGGUCGGACCAGUAUUUGUCGAAUAGGCUGGUCUGUCCUGACGGAGAUAGGAUGAGCUAGGAAAUAGGGUUUCAGCCGCCGGGCGGCGUGGACCAACCCUAGUACGAGUUUUUCCACCUGGGUAUAUCGAGUCUCUGGCCCACGGAGAGCCCGGCUGACAUAGUAGACCGGUACUUGGGUCCCCUCAUCUCGGAUGAGCACAGCACUGACAGCUUCGUCGGCGGCGGAGAGGUAGAGGUACAGCUUUUCUUCGGGCCGAGGUGAGACGAGGGUAGGCAAGUGAUGCAAAUAUUAUUUUAAUUUGUCGAAGGCAGCCUGGCAUUCUUCGGUCCAGGCAAACUGAUCAGACUUCUUUAGCACCUUAAAGAAGGGCAAGGCUUUCUCAGCAGAUUGAGACAGGAAGCGGUUCAGCGCGGCCAGGCGUCCAUUCAGUCUAUGGACUUCUCGGAGGUUCCGAGGUGGGGACAUGUCCUGAAUGGCUUUGACUUUGUCGGGGUUAGCUUCGAUUCCCCGGUGGGAAACCAGAUACCUCAAGAAUUUUCCUGAGGUGACACCAAAGACGCACUUCUUGGGAUUCAACUUCAUCCUUGAGUCCCGCAGGACGCCGAAGACCUCCCUCACAUCUGACAGGAAAGUCGAGGUGGUUAAACUUUUAACUAGAAUGUCGUCCACGUAGGCCUCCACAUUGCGGCCAAUUUGAUCUUUGAAAAGGCGGUUGAUCAGCCUUUGAUAGGUUGCCCCGGUGUUUUUUAGCCCGAACGGCAUGGUAGUAUAGCAGUAAACACCUUGGUCGGUGUAGAACGCUGUUUUCUCUUGGUCCUCCUCACUCAUUCCUAUUUGAUGGUAGCCUUUGAAGGCAUCUAAGAAUCAGAGGAUCUCAUGUCCCAUUGCCGAGUCGACGAGGGGGUCUAUCCUCGGCAGAGGGUAGCAAUAUUUGGGGCAGGCCUUGUUAAGGUCGGUGAAGUCGACACACAUCCUCCAUCCACCGGUAUCCUUUUUGACCAUGACGGGGUUGGACAGCCAGGUGGGGUACUGGACCUCAUGGAUCAUCUUGGCGGGCAAGAGCUUGUCGACCUCAUCAGAUAUGGCCUUGCUGCGUUCGGGGCCGAAGUGCCUGCGUU
RNAcentral lists this long non-coding RNA (9991 nucleotides) under Coffea arabica (coffee). Its description in RNAcentral is "long non-coding RNA (CARA_LNC003104)". The record is from RNAcentral. Lineage: Eukaryota; Viridiplantae; Streptophyta; Magnoliopsida; Gentianales; Rubiaceae.